GACAGAGGUGGCAAGCGUUAGGCGGAAUCACUGGGCUUAAAGCGUGUGUAGGCGGAUUGGUAAGUCCCUUGUGAAAUCCCACGGCUCAACCGUGGAACUGCUGGGUAUACUGCUUAUCUUGAGCCACUUAGGGGCUGUCGGAACAAAUGGUGGAGCGGUGAAAUGCGUAGAUAUCAUUUGGAACGCCAAAGGUGAAAACAGACAGCUGGGAGUGUGCUGACGCUGAGACACGAAAGCCAGGGGAGCGAACGGG
Molecule: ribosomal RNA, 253 nt
Filed under: uncultured bacterium
Lineage: Bacteria
Description: partial 16S ribosomal RNA
Rfam family: Bacterial small subunit ribosomal RNA
Source: RNAcentral